CGCCUGAAUUCAUAUUUUGAGGUUAGGUGUACUUGAAUUUGAAUGUGAUUUGUUAAAUAAAUCAUUAUGGCAGACGGAUUUAUUUUGUUAAUCGAUGCACUUGUGGAAGACGAACAGCGGUAGAAUGUUUGCUACUAAUCACUUGAUUAAUAAUUUCUUUUCAUUCUAGAAAUAAUGCUGCAUUAAUACGACGAAAUUUACGGGAUCAAAGUGAUCCCAUGUCUAUGCCAGAAACUCAGUUUCGAUCACUGUACCGAUUGUCGAGAGAGAUGGUAUACAUAAUCUCAUUUUAGAGCUCUCGCCUCAUUUGCAAGAUGCAGAACGUGAAGAAUUAUUUAUCCCGAAAAAAUUAAAAAUUAUGGUGGCGUUGCAUUUUUUUGCCCAUGGCAGCUACCAAAAAGCCGUCGGGCAAGAUUUUUGUACAAGUAUGAGCCAGUCAUCUGUUAGUAAAUGUUUAACAGUUGUUGUUAAUGCUUUGGAAAAUUUGUACCAUUAUGUACGUUUUCCACAAACACAAGAGGAAGUAACGCUUGUUAAGCAAGGUUUUAUGAAUAUGGCCCAUGGGUUCCCAGGUAUUGUUGGUGCUGUUGAUUGCACACACAUUGCAAUAGUUGCUCCUCCAAUUAAUCAUCCUGAUUAUCCUGCAAUAUUAUUUUAUAAUAGAAAAGGAUACUACAGCCUUAAUGUACAAAUUAUAUGUGAUGCAAAUUAAAAAAUAUUAGCAUUAAAUGCUCGUUAUCCCGGAUCAGUUCAUGAUGCAGCUAUUUGGGGCACAAGCCAAAUACGACAAAAUUUAUAUAAUAGUUAUCAAGCAGGCCAUACCUCCUAUUUACUUGGCGAUUCUGGGUAUCCACUCGAACCAUGGCUGAUGACACCCAUAACAGCUCCUGAUACAGAUGCAAAACGUGCUUAUAAUAUUGCACAUAGAAGUGUAAGAAAUGUGAUCGAAAGGUUGAACGGAGUUCUUAAAACAAGAUUUCGGUGUCUCCUUAAACACCGAGUUUUGCAUUACAGCCCACCAGUUGCAGCUAAAAUAGUAAAUAGUUGUGCUGUUUUACACAAUAUGUGUAUAUUGCAUGGAGAUCAAGCUUUAAUUGAUGAUGUUCCAGAAGAUGAAUAUGUACAAGAUGAACAUGAUCAGCAACAGCUACAAAAUGGACAUGAGAGGUAUCAGGGUGAACAAGUACGAACUAGAAUAGUGCGGAUGUAUUUUAAUUAAUAGUUACAGUUAC
Molecule: long non-coding RNA, 1232 nt
Organism: Photinus pyralis (common eastern firefly)
Lineage: Eukaryota; Metazoa; Arthropoda; Insecta; Coleoptera; Lampyridae
Exons: 6
Source: RefSeq, a predicted model, not a curated record